CCUAGAGACAAUCAGCACUAGCAGCACCCAUUUUCAUGAACUGCAGGCGUUAAAAUGCCCCUCCAUGAAUCAAACGGCUCCUGGUAACCCUAUGCGUGCCCUAUAAUAAUGAAAAUCCCAGGGAACGGUUCUGAUGAAUGAUGACAGAUGGACCCUAUAAAGCUAUGCUUUUCUACAUGCCUCACUGGAAGGGGUCGGUAGCAUCUAAAUAAAGUAGGAGUGAAACUAGCAGGGAGACCACCCUCUUUAAAAUCCAAAGAAAAGCUGCUUUUAAUCUGAAACUGAUCUUGCUAUCUGGCUACCUCUUGUUUUGUCACUACGUUGGGGUUAUCAACUCAUCACUAAACCAUACACCAACUUCCCUGCUAGUAUAUUUCUUAGCCAUUAGACAAAAGACCAAACCCCUCGUAUUUCUUCAGUUUCUGAGAGAGAAAGAGGCGUGUGUGGCAUCAGAAACGAGGGUUAGGACUUAGGAGGUGAGAGAACGCAGGAAAAGACUGGAGGGAGGGAGGGAUUGGAGGGUUUUCAUCAGUAACGAGGGAGGAUGAUGAUUCUUUCCCUGAUCCUUCUUAAUAUAUACGAUGUCUUACAGACCUGUAAUUCAUAGGAAUAUGGAAGGAACCGUCUAAUCUGAUCAUUAUUACAACUCCAAAACAAUUAUUAAUUAUUUCUCUUGUCUUUUUAAGUCUUCAAAUCACCUCUUCUUCUCCCCCCUCACUGCCCUUUUCAAUUAAUUACACCCACAAGGAGCCCCUCCCUCUUUCUCUCUCUUAUUUACUGUGCUAUACCAUACUUUCUUCUUAAAUAGAACCCAUCUGUCCCCAAGGAUUGUUAUUACUCUCUAGCUGUCUGUUUUCCUUGUAUGUGUCUGUGCCUUCCAGUGGUGAAUACUAGGACAGCUAGCUAGCUAGCUUUCAUGUGGAUUUAGCAAAGGGUUUCUUACAGAGUUUAUUGGCAUUCUGUCCACCUCCUAUCUUUAGAAAUUAGAAUAUCUCUUUCAUAUGGAGGUGGGCAUACUGCCAACCGAGCUCUGUUGGUCUCUCUUUGUAAAACCCUCGUGAUUAUUCUGUCAUCAUCGUCAUCUUUUAGCUCUUUCUCUCUUGCAAGAAAGAAAGAUCAAAGGUAAAGAAUCUGCAUGCGCUAUGAUGAUCUCUAGCAACCUCUUCUUUUUUUUUUGUUUUUUUUUUUUGUGGUAAGCUUCUUUUGUUUUUCUGAUCAUGGUGGUCAUGCACUGGCAGCUUCUGGCCCUUAUUUGGCUUCUACUUGAUGACUCCAACUUUACCAUCUACUUUUCCUAAUAAAACACAAAAAAAUCAAUAAAAGAGAAAAUCACUACGACUUGCUUUGAUCACCUGUUGAUUGCCAUGGUUCAAUUUUCUGCAGAAAAUUAGAGGUAAUGAGGCAUCACAUGUGCAGAAUCCUGGUUUUCACUUUGUAGAUCUUAACCUAUGUGACUUUUUCCUGGGUUUUUGGGUGUAAUUGCUCCUUUCAUACUUGCCUAUAUUUCAUAAUCUAACAGUGCAUAAUGCAUUGCUCUCUUCAUCUCAUCAUCCAGGCUUAUCUAUCUCUUAUUUCCCCUUUGAAUCUAACUCAAGUGAUCGUACUCAAGAUUAGUUCAAUUAAUAAAGACUCAAAGAGUUGAAGGCUGGACGAUGCCUCUUUGCAGCGAUCAUACGAACUCAACUCAACUUAAUUAUAGGAUGCAUCGAAGGUCUUUCGUUAGGGCAUGCCAAACACUCCAUUUCUAUGAUAUACUCCCAAGUCCACACGCUGAGUGUCUUUUUUGAUGAUGUAAAGGCAAAAUUUCUAAAUAAUUUGUUGUGAUUGUGCUUUGUGCAUUUGGCCAUCAGACGCAUGGAAAUGUUUGGAAUAAUAAUAGAGGGUUACAUUACCAGGUGGCUCCACUCAAGGUUCCACAUUGAUGUUUGAAAGUCAAGCUUUUUUGCUUUAAGCACUUGCUCAUAGAAUUUUGUAUUAGUGAUUUUGAUUCUUGUAUCCCUUUUGGUUCAAAUGUGACUUCAAUUUAGGCAUGGUAGGACACUCAAUAAAAGGGUAAAAUAAGAGCCGCUGGGAUGGUGAUAAUUACUCCAUCGGGGACCAUAAUAUGGCUGAGUAAUGGCAGUACUGUGUUCUUUCAGUGCACAAAACUGGAGGGGGCGACGAGGGACCAUAAGCAUUUAUCAAGGUAAAGAAGUUCACUGUUAGGGCUCCAUCCAGAAAUAAAUUGGACUCAGUACCAAAAAGCAAUGAAAUUCGAAAUUUAUUUAAGCAUUUUUUAAUCUUCUAUAUGUCCGGAUAUUGUGACCUUUUUUGUACAAGUCAUUGCUUUUUUUUU
Molecule: long non-coding RNA, 2335 nt
Organism: Populus trichocarpa (black cottonwood)
Lineage: Eukaryota; Viridiplantae; Streptophyta; Magnoliopsida; Malpighiales; Salicaceae
Exons: 2
Source: RefSeq, a predicted model, not a curated record